CCGGUAGACGAUGGGGAUGCGUUCCAUUAGAUAGUAGGCGGGGUAACGGCCCACCUAGUCUUCGAUGGAUAGGGGUUCUGAGAGGAAGGUCCCCCACAUUGGAACUGAGACACGGUCCAAACUCCUACGGGAGGCAGCAGUGAGGAAUAUUGGUCAAUGGGCGAGAGCCUGAACCAGCCAAGUAGCGUGAAGGAUGACUGCCCUAUGGGUUGUAAACUUCUUUUAUAAAGGAAUAAAGUCGGGUAUGCAUACCCGUUUGCAUGUACUUUAUGAAUAAGGAUCGGCUAACUCCGUGCCAGCAGCCGCGGUAAUACGGAGGAUCCGAGCGUUAUCCGGAUUUAUUGGGUUUAAAGGGAGCGUAGAUGGAUGUUUAAGUCAGUUGUGAAAGUUUGCGGCUCAACCGUAAAAUUGCAGUUGAUACUGGAUAUCUUGAGUGCAGUUGAGGCAGGCGGAAUUCGUGGUGUAGCGGUGAAAUGCUUAGAUAUCACGAAGAACUCCGAUUGCGAAGGCAGCCUGCUAAGCUGCAACUGACAUUGAGGCUCGAAAGUGUGGGUAUCAAACAGGAUUAGAUACCCUGGUAGUCCACACGGUAAACGAUGAAUACUCGCUGUUUGCGAUAUACGGCAAGCGGCC
This 633-nucleotide ribosomal RNA is filed under the name uncultured bacterium. RNAcentral's name for it is "bacterial SSU rRNA". It matches the Rfam family "Bacterial small subunit ribosomal RNA", at positions 215 to 848 of the family's 1533-position model. The record is from RNAcentral.